Molecule: transfer RNA, 74 nt
Filed under: Ixodes scapularis (black-legged tick)
Lineage: Eukaryota; Metazoa; Arthropoda; Arachnida; Ixodida; Ixodidae
Description: tRNA-Thr for anticodon GGU
Source: RNAcentral
GCCAGGAUGGUCUAAUCGGUUAAGGCGUCGCCCCGGUCAGGCGAAGGUUGCGGGGUCAAUCCCCGCUCCUGGCC